CCUACGGGAGGCAGCAGUGAGGAAUAUUGGUCAAUGGACGAGAGUCUGAACCAGCCAAGUAGCGUGAAGGAUGACUGCCCUAUGGGUUGUAAACUUCUUUUAUAUGGGAAUAAAAUGUUCCACGUGUGGGAUUUUGUAUGUACCAUAUGAAUAAGGAUCGGCUAACUCCGUGCCAGCAGCCGCGGUAAUACGGAGGAUCCGAGCGUUAUCCGGCUUUAUUGGGUUUAAAGGGAGCGUAGGUGGAUUGUUAAGUCAGUUGUGAAAGUUUGCGGCUCAACCGUAAAAUUGCAGUUGAAACUGGCAGUCUUGAGUACAGUAGAGGUGGGCGGAAUGCGUGGUGUAGCGGUGAAAUGCUUAGAUAUCACGAAGAACUCCGAUUGCGAAGGCAGUUCACUGGACUGCAACUGACACUGAGGCUCGAAAGUGUGGGUAUCAAACAGGAUUAGAUACCCCAGUAGUC
Molecule: ribosomal RNA, 460 nt
Filed under: uncultured bacterium
Lineage: Bacteria
Description: partial 16S ribosomal RNA
Rfam family: Bacterial small subunit ribosomal RNA
Source: RNAcentral